AGAGUUGAUCAUGGCUCAGGAUGAACGCUAGCUACAGGCUUAACACAUGCAAGUCGAGGGGUAGCAGGGUAGCAAUACCGCUGACGACCGGCGCACGGGUGAGUAACACGUAUCCAACCUUCCCAUAACUCAGGGAUAGCCUUUCGAAAGAAAGAUUAAUACCUGAUAGUACUUUUUCAAGGCAUCUUGAGAAAGUUAAAGAUUUAUUGGUUAUGGAUGGGGAUGCGUUCCAUUAGAUAGUUGGUGAGGUAACGGCUCACCAAGUCUUCGAUGGAUAGGGGUUCUGAGAGGAAGGUCCCCCACAUUGGUACUGAGACACGGACCAAACUCCUACGGGAGGCAGCAGUGAGGAAUAUUGGUCAAUGGGCGAGAGCCUGAACCAGCCAAGUAGCGUGAAGGAUGAAAGGUCCUAUGGAUUGUAAACUUCUUUUAUAGUAGAAUAAAGUGAUCCACGUGUGGAUUUUUGUAUGUAUACUAUGAAUAAGGAUCGGCUAACUCCGUGCCAGCAGCUGC
This 513-nucleotide ribosomal RNA is filed under the name uncultured bacterium. RNAcentral describes it as "bacterial SSU rRNA". It matches the Rfam family "Bacterial small subunit ribosomal RNA", at positions 8 to 518 of the family's 1533-position model. The record is from RNAcentral.